CUGAAGCAGUUCAACAAGGCACAAGACCAGUUGCACAAUGCCCUGAAUCUUAAUAGGCACGAUCUGACUUAUAUAAUGCUGGGGAAGAUCCACUUGCUGGAGGGAGACUUGGACAAGGCCAUUGAAGUCUACAAGAAAGCAGUGGAGCCAUCUUGGCAGCAGGCAGCAUGAUGCAGACCCACGGGGACUUUGAUGUUGCCCUCACCAAAUACAGAGUUGUGGCUUGUGCUGUUCCAGAAAGUCCUCCACUCUGGAAUAACAUUGGAAUGUGUUUCUUUGGCAAGAAGAAAUAUGUGGCGGCCAUCAGCUGCCUGAAACGAGCCAACUACUUGGCACCCUUCGAUUGGAAGAUUCUGUAUAAUUUGGGCCUUGUCCAUUUGACCAUGCAGCAGUAUGCAUCAGCUUUUCAUUUUCUCAGUGCGGCCAUCAACUUCCAGCCAAAGAUGGGGGAGCUCUACAUGCUCUUGGCAGUGGCUCUGACCAAUCUGGAAGAUAUAGAGAAUGCCAAGAGAGCCUACGCAGAAGCAGUCCACCUGGAUAAGUAUGCGCUUUGUUGAGAAUGGUACUGGCGGGGGUUGGACUCUCCAAAGCCAUGAGGUGGUGCCAUAGCAUUGGUGCUGCCUGUGUCAGCCCAGCUGUUCCUCUAUGGCAUUAGUACAUAGCAGACCUCAGUGUGGAGGGAUGUGUCUCCUAAGUAUGUGGUGGCUCAGCAGGAAUUGACACUCUGAGAAAAUGUUUCCAGUCCUAAACUGAGUAAUCAGGAGGCUAGAGAAUGUCAGAACUGGCAGUGGGCUUGGGUUGCUGAUAGCUAUGGGCUAGCUGGAAUAUCAGAUGGGACUCUGGGCUGUUUAAUUCAAGAUAAAACUUGACUCUUCCAGGAUUUACUCCGCUGGCAUCUUCUAGACAGCAGGGUAGAGAUCCCUUUUUCAACCCUGGCCUAGGUAGUCUCUGUUGAGGGCGGAGAUGCCAGAUUUGGUCCCAAUACCAGCUUUGCUUGUUA
RNAcentral lists this small RNA (1000 nucleotides) under Pan troglodytes (chimpanzee). RNAcentral describes it as "retained intron". The record is from RNAcentral. Lineage: Eukaryota; Metazoa; Chordata; Mammalia; Primates; Hominidae.